Molecule: unclassified non-coding RNA, 228 nt
Filed under: Hevea brasiliensis (rubber tree)
Lineage: Eukaryota; Viridiplantae; Streptophyta; Magnoliopsida; Malpighiales; Euphorbiaceae
Source: RNAcentral
GCCGGUAAUUCCAACUAAAUAAAAGAAAUCAUCAUUGGCUUCAUAAUAUAUAAAUUUAAUCAGUGCAAAUUUACACAUUAGAAAAUUUGAAAAUUAAAAUGUAAUCGCCGAAAUCGGCUCCGUGAAUCAACUGAAUUCAGAUCCACAGGUUCCUAUCAGCAAGCGAAGCAUGAAAUCGAUUUCUGUCCAAUCAUAGCAUCGCCGGUCAAUGCCUAAAGGCUACCGGCG